Molecule: long non-coding RNA, 930 nt
Organism: Budorcas taxicolor (takin)
Lineage: Eukaryota; Metazoa; Chordata; Mammalia; Artiodactyla; Bovidae
Exons: 5
Source: RefSeq, a predicted model, not a curated record
GUCACAUCUGAGACGGCGUUGUACAUCAACAAGCGUCCAGGCUCCAGGGACAUGGCGGCGGCCUCUGUGAUGUCGGUGCUGCUGAUGGCGACUGAGAGGAACCGGUGGCAGCUAGUCCAGAGCCUGCUGCUGCUGCUGCCGCCCUGGCAACGAUCCGAAAGAUACUUCUAGCACUUGGAUACUACCUGGGAGCAACUUGUCAUGCUUGCAUUGUAUGGAACAAGUGUUCAAAAUAGAAUGCAAAAACUGUAAGCUGAUGGAAGAGGCAGCACAUGACAUCCCUGGUACUCCAGGGAGAAUAUUUGAUAUAGGAGAUACCUUUGUUGUGUCCCUUUCUGACUUAGUGCCAAUCAAUAUGCUGAAGUCCUCAAAAAGUUCCUGAGAGAUCCAUUUCAAAUUCUAGUGAAGAAAGAACUGAUCUUUGAAAGGCGCUGACAGAAAGAAAGGGGCAUUACCAAGAGGGAACUCCUUGAUAAGAAUUGGAAGCAGGAGUCAGUUCGGGAGGAAAGCUGUGGCCAUAAACAUUGAAGAAGACAAGAAGAUUCUUUGUGACACUGAGACUUUCUACCACACUACAGUAGAGGAAAUGGUAAAGACUGUGGCUGACCUGAUUUAAUUCCUGGAAUGAAAUGAUUAUGAAUGUAGUGCUUGCUAUUGCUGAACGGGCAGUCACAUUGUGCAUUGUGUUUCUUUUGGGGGUAAUAUGUGAAGCUUGUCUCAGUGCUCACAACAGAUUAAAAAUACAGAUUUUGAUAGCAAAGCAACUUCAGACAUGAUUUCAUGAUAUCAUUGGUUUUAUCCUCUUAUUUCCUAGUUCUCUACACAUGGUUUUAUUGAGUAUUUGCCAUCAUUUAAUAAUAUGGACUGAAAGAUAUAAAAGCAGCUAUUUAUAAAGUUUGUCUGCCUUUAUUGUAUUAGUCACUAACUGAA